UACGGGGGGAGCAAGCGUUGUUCGGAUUUACUGGGCGUAAAGGGCGCGUAGGCGGCGCAACAAGUCACUUGUGAAAUCUCCGGGCUUAACCCGGAGCGGCCAAGUGAUACUGUCGUGCUAGAGUGCGGAAGGGGCUACUGGAAUUCUCGGUGUAGCGGUGAAAUGCGUAGAUAUCGAGAGGAACACCUGCGGCGAAGGCGGGUAGCUGGGACGACACUGACGCUGAUGCGCGAAAGCCAGGGGAGCGAACGGG
This 253-nucleotide ribosomal RNA is filed under the name uncultured bacterium. RNAcentral describes it as "partial 16S ribosomal RNA". It matches the Rfam family "Bacterial small subunit ribosomal RNA", at positions 524 to 776 of the family's 1533-position model. The record is from RNAcentral.